RNAcentral lists this ribosomal RNA (419 nucleotides) under uncultured bacterium. Its description in RNAcentral is "bacterial SSU rRNA". It matches the Rfam family "Bacterial small subunit ribosomal RNA", at positions 356 to 774 of the family's 1533-position model. The record is from RNAcentral.
AAGGAAUAUUGCUCAAUGGGAGAAAUCCUGAAGCAGCAAUGCCGCGUGGAGGAUGAAGGGUCUAUGACUUGUAAACUCCUGUAAAGAAGGAAAAAAUUCCCAUUUGAUGGGAGAUGAUGGUACUUCUGGAGUAAGCCCCGGCUAACUACGUGCCAGCAGCCGCGGUAAUACGUAGGGGGCAAGCGUUGUCCGGAUUUACUGGGUGUAAAGGGUGCUCAGGCGGAUUUGUAAGUCAGAGGUGAAAUCUUACAGCUUAACUGUGAAACUGCCUUUGAUACUGCAAGCCUAGAGUAUGGAAGAGAGUGAUGGAAUAUCUGGUGUAGCAGUGAAAUGCGUAGAUAUCAGAUAGAACACCAAUGGCGAAGGCAGUCACUUGGUCCAUUACUGACGCUAAAGCACGAAAGCGUGGGUAGCAAACA